Long non-coding RNA from Hirundo rustica (Barn swallow), 3610 nucleotides. RefSeq lists it as uncharacterized. The record is from RefSeq and is a predicted model, not a curated record. The transcript is spliced from 7 exons. Lineage: Eukaryota; Metazoa; Chordata; Aves; Passeriformes; Hirundinidae.
CCGUGAUUUCAUCUGAUAAAUCAGCUCGGAGAAAAGAGAAGAUGGAGUCUGGAAAAUAAGCCAGGUGCUGAGGAUCGGGGGCAUUCAGCAUCAGCUGCGCACCCAGAAGAUUGCUGGUUUCUUCCCAGAGAGCUGAAAUCCCAUUCUUCUCUCUGUCCUAAUGAAGCUCAGAGGUGCCCCUUUAUCUCCCCUAAUAAUGAACUGAUGUUCCUGCAAAUGGAGCUGGAAACCUGCAGCAGGGUCAGAGGCAAAGCUGAGCUUGGGUCCUGGGCAAUUCGGUCUUGGAGCAGCUUUUAGCCUUCCCCGGGUUCAGAGCACAAAGUUAUGAGAUGAUUUUAAUGAAGAUGUAUGGAGCCAGAGUCUCCAUUUCAGCGGUUCCUGCUGUCCCCAGGAUUGAAAUUCAGGAAGGAAAACACCGGGGCAGCGCACUGCGAUAGGAGAGAAAUGCCUUUAGUGCCAGAUGUGUGCGCUGCCUCUCUCUGUGUUUUGGAGUGUGUAUUUAGGGAAUUAUGGCUCCUGAGUAGCCAAAACUCCCUCCGAACCUCUGGAUCCGUGCUGUUUGCAGUGAACCAAGAAUAAUGCUCAUCAUUUCACCCUUUUCAACAGAGAGCCAGAAUUCUGUGUGAGUGCUGGCAUCCUCCUGGGCGUGGAUCGCUGGGAAAGAACCCACACCUCUUCAGAUGGGAAGAUUUCCAUCCCAGCGACGUGGAUCUGGGUCUCUUGGAGUUUUGGCUCAAGAUUGGCUGAUUCAGUUAAACUUCAUGUUGUUCCUCGGAGCUGUGGUGGAAAAGCUGUUUGGAACAGCAGCCUUAAGCUGUGCUUCAAUCCUCCAGAGCGAUCCAAACCAGGUGAGAAAGCAACUCAUCCCAGAGAUUUUGUUGAGAACUCGAGGUGACUGCUGUGUUUUCCUGGGCAUAUCAUAUCCUGGGUGCCACUAAGUUACUCAUAAUUGAGUGCAGACUGCGGGGGGAAUUAUUUACAGCUUUGUCCUGCCAGAGUGACAAAAAGCAGCCUCGAGGUGCUGCUUGCUCUGCUCAGCUCCACACUUCCAAUAUUUCCUCAAGGCUAUUGCUCCUGUCUGCUGCCACAGACCUACGUCAGCAUUUCCAUACCAUUACCUUCAGCGAGGAGCAUUCCCUUAAUUCCUGCCUUGUUUAGUCCUGGACUAUAAAUAAAACCAACAGCUCAGGAAAGCGAGCCUUGCAGAGCCCUGCCCUGGAGGCUACUCAAAACCUGAAAGCUUCAUUGGUUUGCCAGUCUUUACAGACCAACAUCUAAUCUAUAAUAACCAUAAUGCCAGCUGGAAAUCCAUAAUUACGGCCCACUCCAAGCUGUGGCACAGCAGAUGAGGAAUAACGCCGAGCUCUCCGCUGGAGGAAGCGCACCCAGAGCGUUUGUCAGGCCAUUUUCUCUGUGUGAUUCUUAUCCUGGCUCUCCCUCCCUCUCUCUCCCCCAACUCCCCAGCCAGCACGAUGAGAAAAUAAAUACGGAUAUUUAUGCCCAUUUCUGGGAAUGCAGUUGUCUCAGCACAUACAGCACCCAGGAGGGCUGUAAGAAAUAAAUUAGUGAUCUACGGCGUGGAUGUGCCAGGCAGGAUGCAUGUCUGUUUGACUGCUGCUAAGGAGCUAAAUAUUUCAGAUGAGGAAGGUUUAUGGCGCUGUGAAUGUCACGGAUAUGUCAAAGGAACAAUAAGCUUGUGGAGCUUUUAGGGGUUUAUUCUUCACCCUGCUGCUGGGAGCGGGUGCAGAGGGCUGUGGGCUCUGCACAGAACCUCUCCAGAAGCCAUCAACACAACACUGAGGUGAUAGAAAUCUGUAGAAUUCCUGGAAUAUCAAAAUUCAAGCCAGUGUGGGCAGUAGGUGAGGGAAGGAGGGAAUUCUGUCCCCAGCUCAGGUGAGACCUGGGCUCCAGCACAGGAGGGACCUGGAGCUGCUGGAGAGAUCCAGAGGAGGCUCCAGGAUGAUCCCAGGGAUGGAGCAGCUCUGCUGGGAGGAAAGGCUGGAGAGCUGGGAUUGUUCACCUGGAGAGGAGAAGCCUUGGGGUGACCUCAUGGUGGCCUUGCAGGGCCUGAAGGAGACAACAAGAAAGAUGGAGAAGGAUUUUUUACAAGGGUCUGGAGUAGCAGGAAAAGGAGGAAUGGCUUCACAGCGCCAAAAUAGGUUUAGAUGGGAGACUGGGCAGGAAUUGGUCCAUGGGGGUGGUGAGGCCCUGGCACAGGGUGCCCAGAGCAGCUGUGGUGCCCCUGGAUCCCUGGAAGUGCCCAAGGCUAGGCUGAAGCAGCCUGGGACAGUGGAAGGUGUCCCUGCCAUGGCAAGGGUGGAGCUGGAUGGGCUUUAAAUUUAAAUUCCAAACCUUUCCAUGGUUCUAUGAGUAUCCCAAGCUGGAAUGGACCUACAUGGAUCACAGGGUUGGCUGUGCAAGCAUCCCAUCCCGUGCCCCGGAGCAUUUCCCAAACCUUCCCUGAAUUCUCCAUCUCUGGGGCUCCAGAAGGAGCCAGGCCAGUUUCCAGGAGCUGAGCUCCUGCCGUUGUACAACACCUUGCAGCUGGUGAGGAGACAACUCCUGGGAUGUGCAAGGAAGGCAGAGCUGGCAUUGUGCUCGUUAGAGAAGGGCCUGGAAGCCUCCUCUGGCCACCAUCUGCUGCCUUGUUUGUGGGGUUUGAUCAUCCCUCCCUGAAUGGCUCCGCUGAAACUCCCUGAUUAAUCUCCGGCAUCCGAAUCUCCUCGGCAGCCUGAAGGAUGGCAGGAUUCAGCUCGUUAAAAUAAAACCCCGUGAAUGUGCAAAUUCUCCUCAAAAGAGACCGGGAUUCAUGAAGCAGCUCGGGACAAAAGUGGGGAAAUGAGCUGUGGCUUUUUUGUGCUGCCUAUUUACAAACACAAGCUCCUUGAUAAAAGCUGGGAAUAUCUCUUGGAGAUGAGUGGUGACUAAAAGAGCCCCGUGAUCGUUGCUUAGAGGACUUGUGGAAGGCACACAAUGCCUGAAGAUGAUUUUAAUGAGUGACACCAAUUUCAGGGAGCUGUUAGGAGGCUUUUCUUUCUAGAUGGUGGAAGGAAUAUUUCACUGACAGGUGUUUUAAAGUAUUUCCUGUACAAUGAGUCGGCUCAAUUUGUCCAUAAUGAAUAAAAUGAAAUUUAGGGAUCAUUUAGGGGUUAUUAAUGGCUGUGAUAUAUUAAUUAUGCAGCAAACUUUAAUUGUCUCCUCCUUAAAAAAGCAGUUCAAUUAGAGUCCUUGGUGUUUUUAAUAGAGUGUUGAAAUAGUUUUUCAAACAACAAAGCAUUAAGUCUCGUUACGGAUCCAUUUCUCUUUUCAUGGGAAAUGAUUUGACCAUAACUGAUCCUGACAGGGAAUUUAAAUAGUCUCAACCCAGCCUGGCAACAAACAUAGAAUCCUAAUGUGUGCAGCCUCCAGCCCAUGGAAUUGUCCUAAAGUCACUGAGGUUGCACAGGAUGUAUGUGACAGUUCUGGGUUUCUGUGGGAUCUUCAGCUGAUUUCUGUCUGGAGAAAGUGAAAUAUAUUCUCUCUUGUUUCUCCUGGCCAUUCUUUGAACCCGUGUCUGUUAAACAAUUUGAAAACAUGCAAAUUUAUUUACUAUGUUCAAAGAAAUCUGUCU